RNAcentral lists this ribosomal RNA (444 nucleotides) under Triticum aestivum (bread wheat). RNAcentral's name for it is "partial small subunit ribosomal RNA". The record is from RNAcentral. Lineage: Eukaryota; Viridiplantae; Streptophyta; Magnoliopsida; Poales; Poaceae.
AUGGUUAAGUUUCUCAUGUUUGCACGAUGGAAAAAAUUGGAUUCUGUGUGGACACAUUCUGUUUGGAGAGAUAUGACAGUUUGUUUUUUUAAGCACAUUAGAACCUUUUUUUCUGAGAUGGCCUCAUCGCUGAUGGCAUGGUCCAUUCGUAUGAGUGCGGUGGCCCAACCUGUAUGUUUUUUCUUAUUAAUGAUGCAUGAUGCCAUGUGUGUUUCUGAUCCCUCACGGGUUGGUCCAAGCAUUGGGGUUGUGGUUGGGAUCGUGAAAAUCAACGUGAAGCCGUCAUUGGACGCUAUGGACCCACAUCAUUUACGAAGAUCUAAUGGUUGGACUUAUCUUUAUUUUGACCCACCUGGUUUACAAAUAUAUAAUAAUUGGAUUUUAUUGUCUUACGGCAUGGACUCACCUGGUUUACGAAGAUCUAAUUAUUGUGGGAUUUACUAA